CCUGGCCAGCACUUUACCACUCUCACCAUGUGGAUCCCUUCUGAGUUCAAAAGCUAAGCAGGGUCAGGCCUGGUUACUGCUCGGACGGGAGAGCGCCCGAGAAUACCUGGGAUCUCUGGGU
This 121-nucleotide ribosomal RNA is filed under the name Pogona vitticeps (central bearded dragon). Lineage: Eukaryota; Metazoa; Chordata; Lepidosauria; Squamata; Agamidae. The record is from RNAcentral.